Long non-coding RNA from Conger conger (European conger), 908 nucleotides. RefSeq lists it as uncharacterized. The record is from RefSeq and is a predicted model, not a curated record. Lineage: Eukaryota; Metazoa; Chordata; Actinopteri; Anguilliformes; Congridae. The transcript is spliced from 4 exons.
AGCUACACAUUAGUCUGUGAAUAAAGAGAAGAGAUCAGUUUCAUUUCUAUUAUAGUCAGUUAAUUUUGUACAGGUUUAGAGAAAUGGCAAUAUACUAUGCCAAUUGACAGUAUGUGUGCAUACUGGUGUUUUUUUUUUUUGCCGUUUCAUUGUAGAGGGAAAUCAAAAUGAAAAAAGAACUAUGCACCAACAAGGAGAAGGAACAACUGAAGUGAAAUCUGAUGUAUAUGCUGUUGUGUCUCAUCAGAAGAAGAGAAACAAAAAUAAGGUCACAGAACCACCUUCAGAGGACAUACAUUAUGCAGUUAUUUCAUUUCAGAGGAAAACCGAGGACAGAAAGCCAUAUAGGAACCCAGAAGACAGUGUCACUUACUCUGCCGUUGGCUUAAAAGGAACAGCAGACACAUACUGAGGACGCCACAAAACACCCAUGCCAAAGACGAUGAACAGUCGAAAGAAAAUAUUUCAGAAACUACUGCUUCUCUCAAAGCCAUGUAACCACCCUGAAAGAAUAUGGCAUAUUCCAUAUGCAGAUAUUUCUAUUAAUAUUUAAAAACUGAGAAGCAAGUAUUAAAAAUAACAGUAGCAGUCUGGGAAAGGUCAGGAAACUAUGUUAAGAUGGUUUGGAGUUUAGUUCCCUUCUACAUUAAUGCAGAGGACACCUCCUGGGGCAGCAUUCACUGCAAACCAGAUUUAUGAUCAUUAUUUCACUAGGCACUAUUUCAGCCAUGCUUGAUGUGCAGAUGAAGUGCAGUUUAUAAAGUGUGAAAUUGUUUAAAUUGUUUGAGAUGCUCUUUGAGGGUUCCUUUUUUAUCUGUAAGACAUUAUGUGAAACCACAUUUCAUAAUUGUGUAUAGGGGGCUGAAUGUUGGUUGUAGUAUUAAUCAACACAUCUAAUGUAGCACUGC